Molecule: ribosomal RNA, 270 nt
Filed under: uncultured bacterium
Lineage: Bacteria
Description: partial 16S ribosomal RNA
Rfam family: Bacterial small subunit ribosomal RNA
Source: RNAcentral
GACGAACGCUGGCGGCGCGCUUAACACAUGCAAGUCGAGCGAGAACCAGGCCUUCGGGCCCGGGGAAAGCGGCGAACGGGUGAGUAACACGUGGGUAAUCUGCCCUCGGCACCGGGAUAGCCCGGGGAAACUCGGAUUAAUACCGGAUUGCCUCCGAAGCCUUCGGGCGUCGGAGAAAAGGUGGCUUCGGCUUCCGGCUGGGGAUGAGCCCGCGGCGGAUUAGCUUGUUGGCGGGGUAACGGCCCACCAAGGCGACGAUCCGUAGCUGGU